RNAcentral lists this ribosomal RNA (440 nucleotides) under uncultured bacterium. Its description in RNAcentral is "partial 16S ribosomal RNA". It matches the Rfam family "Bacterial small subunit ribosomal RNA", at positions 338 to 795 of the family's 1533-position model. The record is from RNAcentral.
CCUACGGGAGGCAGCAGUGGGGAAUAUUGCACAAUGGGGGAAACCCUGAUGCAGCGACGCCGCGUGAAGGAAGAAGUAUUUCGGUAUGUAAACUUCUAUCAGCAGGGAAGAAAAUGACGGUACCUGACUAAGAAGCCCCGGCUAACUACGUGCCAGCAGCAGCGGUAAUACGUAGGGGGCAAGCGUUAUCCGGAUUUACUGGGUGUAAAGGGAGCGUAGGCGGUUUAGCAAGUCAGAAGUGAAAGCCCGGGGCUCAACUCCGGGACUGCUUUUGAAACUGUUGAACUAGAGUGCAGGAGAGGUAAGUGGAAUUCCUAGUGUAGCGGUGAAAUGCGUAGAUAUUAGGAGGAACACCAGUGGCGAAGGCGGCUUACUGGACUGUAAAUGACGCUGAGGCUCGAAAGCGUGGGGAGCAAACAGGAUUAGAUACCCCGGUAGUC